Molecule: ribosomal RNA, 253 nt
Filed under: uncultured bacterium
Lineage: Bacteria
Description: partial 16S ribosomal RNA
Rfam family: Bacterial small subunit ribosomal RNA
Source: RNAcentral
GACAGAGGGGCCGAGCGUUAGGCGGAAUCACUGGGCUUAAAGCGUGUGUAGGUGGAUGCCUAAGUACCUUGUGAAAUCCCACGGCUUAACCGUGGAACUGCUUGGUAUACUGGGUGUCUUGAGCCAGCUAGGGGCUACCGGAACAAAUGGUGGAGCGGUGAAAUGCGUAGAUAUCAUUUGGAACGCCAAUGGUGAAAACAGGUAGCUGGGGCUGUGCUGACACUGAGACACGAAAGCCAGGGGAGCGAACGGG